This 506-nucleotide ribosomal RNA is filed under the name Lepisma saccharinum. Its description in RNAcentral is "eukaryotic LSU rRNA". It matches the Rfam family "Eukaryotic large subunit ribosomal RNA", at positions 674 to 1139 of the family's 3401-position model. The record is from RNAcentral. Lineage: Eukaryota; Metazoa; Arthropoda; Insecta; Zygentoma; Lepismatidae.
AUCUAGCGCGUGGGCGAGUCUAAGGGAAUCACUAAACCCGAAGGCGCAGUCAAAGCGACUGGGACGAUCGAGGUGACCCGGAGUCGCUCAACGAAGGGCCCUCGCGCAGUCCCGGGGCGAUCCCCCACCUCCGGGUGCGGGGAUCGUACCUAAGAGCCCACUCGCUGGGACCCGAAAGAUGGUGAACUAUGCUCGGCCAGGACGAAUCCAGGGGAAACCCUGGUGGAAGUCCGAACCGCCUCUGACGUGCAAAUCGACCGUCUGAGCUAAGCAUAGUGGCGAAAGGCCAAUCGAACCGUCUAGUAGCUGGUUCCCUCCGAAGUGUCCCUCAGGACAGCUGGCGCUCGCAAGGGGGGUCCAUCCCGGUAAAGCGAAUGACCGGGGGCCUCGGGGCCGAAACGGCCUCGACCCACUCUCAAACUCUGAACGGGAUGGAGGUCCCGCUUGCCCCUAGGGCGAAGCGGGGCCUUCUUUUCAGGACCCGAGUGCUCAGUGGGCCGCUCCUG